Long non-coding RNA from Silurus meridionalis, 3383 nucleotides. RefSeq lists it as uncharacterized. The record is from RefSeq and is a predicted model, not a curated record. The transcript is spliced from 3 exons. Lineage: Eukaryota; Metazoa; Chordata; Actinopteri; Siluriformes; Siluridae.
GGGUUGGUUCCCUGACCGGGGAUCGAACCCGGGCCGCAUCCUAACCACUAGACCACCAGGGAACCUGGUAUGUGUUCAUUAAAUAUAAAAUUAAAAAACAAUUCUAUAGUCAGGGACUGAUCAGUUGAGGGGGUCUGGAAUACAACCACUGUUUAGUGGUGGACAGUAAUGAAUUAAAUGAAAUUUGUUACUUGACUUAAGUAGCUUUUUUCAACUACAGAUGGUCCCCGAGUUACGAUGGUUCGACUUACAAUUUUUUUCGUUCUCAUGAUGACGACAAAAUUGUAAAAAUAUUUUUUUUAAAUUCACGCAACAGGCACAGGCAGAGGAUGAUCGUAUCUCUCGCCCUGCGAGAUGCCCCACUCUCGCUAGCGGUCGACGGAGUAAAGUCUCGGUCAUUAAUUAGUUUUGCACAAUUUCCCCAGCAUCAGCGCAUGUCACGUGCAUUCUAUCACAGUUCUCUCCCUCAUGUUCUGAAACGUACCCAAGAUGCUGUGGGGCAGACAACAUCUGCAUCAGCAGCGCUUUGGAGUCUCGAGCUGACCUUCAGCUAGACCAUAUGCUGCAUCCACUGAAACUCGCUCGGCUCUGCACAAAAGACGGCGGACUCUGUGUAUGUGUGUGUUCGUCCACACACUGGAUCAAGCAGCAGCUGAGCAGCCUCCAGAUCACCGUCUGGUCGUGCAACAGUGACAAUGUCACUCAGCCCCGGGGCUUCAGCCUCUCCAAAAAGUGGUCAGAUGGACAACUACUGUGGUUGUGCCAACGCUGCUGGAAGAGCCCACAACAUCUGACUGACAGUGGCAUGAGAUUCCUUUGGGCACAACUGCAAAUAGCCACACAAAACAGUAGGCCGUCUCCUCAAGACCCCUCUAAGCAAUCCAAUCGGGACAUCUCACGCCAGAUAGCAUUCUGUCCGUAUACACGGCUUGACACACUGCAUAUGCGGCCAUGGAUGGAAUUAUAGCACAUAUAGAAAUGUUUUUAAAGAUAUAUUUGCAUCAAAGGCACUGAAGAAGACCAGUAGUAUAGAGAAGUGCCAAAGCCAGGCUAAAGCCAGUUGAUGCUCAAAUACACUUUGGCAAUCAUUCAUGUGGGCUAAAAUAUGAUAAUUCAUGCCGUCUUCUGUCUUCCCGAGUGCAGAAAGAUUUAUGUUGAAGUAUUAAUUACAUGUAUGCCAUUUGGCAGACAGUCUCAUCCAGAGAGACUCCUUCCCAGAGCUGAACAGUUGAGCAUUAAGAGCCUCCCUCAAGGGCCCGGCAGUGGCAGCUUGGUUUUACUGACAUUUGAACUCACAACCUUGCAAUCGGUGAUCCAAUAUCUUUACAAUUAAGCUACUUGUAAAUAAUUUGUCUUUGGGGGUUUUCUGUACUGGAUAUAUAUUAAGUAAGAACGAUUUUGGAACUAGGAAAUACCCCAAACAGUAGUCAAGUUCAGUCAAGUUCAGCUCAUCUGCACAUUGUUGAAAUUGCUCCCUUGUUGUAGAAUGAGAACUCAUGGUUGACCAGGGGUCAUCAACUUGUGGUCUGCAAAUUCCUCUGAUUGAACGGUGUACUCAAAAAAAAAAGAAACGAUGUUUGUAUGAGAACCAAUCGGUGUAUGAAAUAUAAAGUGGAUAAAUGAAAACUAAGAAUGGACAGAGAAGUGUGUGAUUGGACGAUUGGACUGAGGACGGUUGGAUGUUUUGAUCUUUGAUGUUUUUGAAUCUGUACUGUUUGUCUAAAUGGGUUCCCUGGUGGUCUAGUGGUUAGGAUGCGGCGCUCUCACCGCUGCGGCCCGGGUUCGAUCCCCGGUCAGGGAACCAACCCCAGCCAUUAAGGUUGCACAAGCCUUAGUGUCGGUCCCAAGCCCGUUAGGAAGGGCAUCCAGCGUCAAAACAUGCAGAUGGUCCGUUGUGGCAACCCCUAACGGGAGAAGCCGAAAGAACUUUUACUAAUAGUCAAAAUGGGUUUUGUGAUGCUCCAAUGAAAAAGAUACCACAAUUACUUAUUCAUAGCCGUGAAGUAAUUACUUUAGUAUUUAAUUACACUAGUGGUUUGUUACCAUUGAUUUAAAUGAGGCAGGACGCAUAAAUAAUAAGCUAAAAUUGAGUCAAGUGGCUAUCACACUCGGCGUAUUCUAUAAACCAUGAGCAUGUUUGCUCGUUGCCAUUUUUGCGGUAGAGCUUAUAUUACUAACCAAGAAGAGCAUAAUGCAAAAUAUCCUAAAUAUCUUAAAUCUAUACUCUAUGGAUAAGUGGGAGACAUUUUUUUCAUUAUUGGGUCUGCAUUUGCAAUGGACCUAUGGUCACUGUUGUGUACAUGUGUUAGAUUCGUUCGUUAUGGUUUAUUUACUAAUACUACUACACAUUGUUUUUCUCAAUUAACCCAGUUUAGUGAAAUAAUAUGAUGUUCUCGCUAAAACAAUGUCCCCUUCACUGAAAAAUAUCUACAUAAACUGAGUACGGGGCAGCAUGAAUCCAGCCCCAGUGAACUUAACAUAUGUUGCAGUUCCCAUUCUGUCCACUAGGUGCUAUUAAUAGAGGCAGUGCGGUCGUUCAAAAGACUUAAAUAGUAUUUCUAAUGUAUAGUAUUUAUUAAGGUAGUAUUAUGACAUGCUAGUGUAUCAUUGCUUUGACACAAUUCGAGAGAUUUGUUAAUUCAUUCUUGAACGCAUUGUUCACAAGCAUGGCUCUUUUUUACAUAAAACAAUAGAUAUAUUAUUAUUAUUAUUAUUAUAAUUAAGUUUAUGCUUGCCAUACAUUUUUUAUAAUUAACACGUGGUUUAUGCUGCUGAUACUGUCACUAAUUUCUCAUCAAAACACAAUGACUUAAUGUUUAAUGUUCUGUCAGAACAAUGUGUUUCAGCAUCAUCACUGACCAACAUCCACUGUUUACAAUCAUAUGUACUGCCAUGUUAAUGGGGAAUUAUCUAUAUGAAACUGUACUAUACCAUACCUUUAAUUUUGCACUGCAUGAACACUUUUAUUUCACCUCAAUCCUGCUGUUGCAUCAGCAAAGUUUAGAAUAUUCGCACAAACAAAACUCAAUACACUCACACUGAUUGUAUACACACACUGUAUGUUUUUUUUUUCUUCUGUGGAUACAUUUCUGCUGUUAUCUUUCAUUUAGAAUGUAAAUCACACCUCCAUUUUUUACAUUGUAUAGUUAUGUUCAAAUUCUAUUUAACCAAUCCUGGAGUCAUUUUAGGUUUCAUAAAUAUUAUUAUUUAUGCUAAUAUAUAUAAUUAUGUAUACCACUCAUUUCCAUGCCAGGGACAGACAUUAUAGAAUCUAUAGCUUCAAGAAACCAGUCAGAGGAUUUAGGGAUCUGUCGUGUCUGAAUUCAGGAAGAAAGAAAAAACCUUCCAUCUGUCAGCAGGAACUGUGUGUGUGUGUGUGUGUG